This 811-nucleotide ribosomal RNA is filed under the name Pseudomonas sp. RNAcentral describes it as "bacterial SSU rRNA". It matches the Rfam family "Bacterial small subunit ribosomal RNA", at positions 56 to 859 of the family's 1533-position model. Lineage: Bacteria; Pseudomonadati; Pseudomonadota; Gammaproteobacteria; Pseudomonadales; Pseudomonadaceae. The record is from RNAcentral.
UGCAGUCGAGCGGUAGAGAGAAGCUUGCUUCUCUUGAGAGCGGCGGACGGGUGAGUAAUGCCUAGGAAUCUGCCUGGUAGUGGGGGAUAACGUUCGGAAACGGACGCUAAUACCGCAUACGUCCUACGGGAGAAAGCAGGGGACCUUCGGGCCUUGCGCUAUCAGAUGAGCCUAGGUCGGAUUAGCUAGUUGGUGAGGUAAUGGCUCACCAAGGCGACGAUCCGUAACUGGUCUGAGAGGAUGAUCAGUCACACUGGAACUGAGACACGGUCCAGACUCCUACGGGAGGCAGCAGUGGGGAAUAUUGGACAAUGGGCGAAAGCCUGAUCCAGCCAUGCCGCGUGUGUGAAGAAGGUCUUCGGAUUGUAAAGCACUUUAAGUUGGGAGGAAGGGUUGUAGAUUAAUACUCUGCAAUUUUGACGUUACCGACAGAAUAAGCACCGGCUAACUCUGUGCCAGCAGCCGCGGUAAUACACAGGGUGCAAGCGUUAAUCGGAAUUACUGGGCGUAAAGCGCGCGUAGGUGGUUUGUUAAGUUGGAUGUGAAAUCCCCGGGCUCAACCUGGGAACUGCAUUCAAAACUGACUGACUAGAGUAUGGUACAGGGUGGUGGAAUUUCCUGUGUAGCGGUGAAAUGCGUAGAUAUAGGAAGGAACACCAGUGGCGAAGGCGACCACCUGGACUAAUACUGACACUGAGGUGCGAAAGCGUGAGGAGCAAACAGGAUUAGAUACCCUGGUAGUCCACGCCGUACACAAUGUCAACUAGCCCGUUGGAAGCCCUUGAGCUUUUUAGUGGCCGCAGCUAACCCA